This 421-nucleotide ribosomal RNA is filed under the name uncultured bacterium. Its description in RNAcentral is "bacterial SSU rRNA". It matches the Rfam family "Bacterial small subunit ribosomal RNA", at positions 917 to 1341 of the family's 1533-position model. The record is from RNAcentral.
GGGCCCGCACAAGCGGUGGAGCAUGUGGUUUAAUUCGAUGAUACGCGAGGAACCUUACCAGGGCUUAAAUGUAAGUUGCAUUAGAUAGAGAUAUCUAUUUCUUCGGACCACUUACAAGGUGCUGCAUGGUUGUCGUCAGCUCGUGCCGUGAGGUGUCAGGUUAAGUCCUAUAACGAGCGCAACCCCUGUUGUUAGUUGCCAGCGAUUCAAGUCGGGAACUCUAACAAGACUGCCGGUGCAAACCGUGAGGAAGGUGGGGAUGACGUCAAAUCAUCACGGCCCUUACGUCCUGGGCUACACACGUGCUACAAUGGUAGGGACAGAGAGCAGCCACUACGCGAGUAGGAGCGAAUCUAUAAACCCUAUCACAGUUCGGAUUGUACUCUGCAACUCGAGUACAUGAAGGUGGAAUCGCUAGUAA